CUUGGUCAUUUAGAGGAAGUAAAAGUCGUAACAAGGUUUCCGUAGGUGAACCUGCGGAAGGAUCAUUAUUGAAUGAACUUGGUGUGGUUGUUGCUGGCCCUCUUGGGGGCAUGUGCACACCUACCAUCCUCAUCUCUCCACCUGUGCACCUCUUGUAGAUUUGGAAUUGAUUAUCCGAGGCAACUCGGUCGUGAGGACUGCUAGCACUUAGCUGGCUUUCUUUGCAAUUCCAGGUCUAUGUUUUUCAUAUACCCCAUUGUAUGUAACAGAAUGUAUCAUUGGGCCCUUGUGCCUAUAAACCUUAUACAACUUUCAGCAACGGAUCUCUUGGCUCUCGCAUCGAUGAAGAACGCAGCGAAAUGCGAUAAGUAAUGUGAAUUGCAGAAUUCAGUGAAUCAUCGAAUCUUUGAACGCACCUUGCGCUCCUUGGUAUUCCGAGGAGCAUGCCUGUUUGAGUGUCAUUAAAUUCUCAACCAAUAUCAACUUUUGCUGAUAAUGGCUUGGAUGUGGUGGUCUAUUUUGCUGGCUUCUCAGAUAGUCAGCUCCCCUUAAAUGCAUUAGCCGGUGCCCCGCGUGGACUGUCUAUUGGUGUGAUAAUUAUCUACGCUAUAGACAUCUGCAAUCAUAUGGGUUUGCGCUGCUUCUAACAGUCUGUUGAUUCAGACAAAACAUGACAAUUUGACCUCAAAUCAGGUAGGACUACCCGCUGAACUUAAGCAUAUCAAUAAGCGGAGGA
RNAcentral lists this ribosomal RNA (736 nucleotides) under uncultured fungus. Its description in RNAcentral is "eukaryotic LSU rRNA". The stretch from base 308 to 461 matches the Rfam family "5.8S ribosomal RNA". Lineage: Eukaryota; Fungi. The record is from RNAcentral.